CUGGGAGGAACUCUGUUUCAGACUCUCUGUUCAGCACUGGCCAGGAACCUUUUCAGUCAUGGGUCCCCUCACUGAUCUAUGCUUCAUGUUCAUCGUUUAUUUCUGCACAAGACACAACAUUUACCGUUACAGUCGGGCCUUUGUAUCCUCAAAUCCACAUCGAUGGAUUCAACCAAAUGCAGAUAUUUUAAAAUCAGUAAGUAAAGAUGUUUUAAAAGUGUGUCUAUAUUGAAUAGGUACUGAUUUGGUUUUUUCUGUCAUCAUUCCUUAGUACAACAAUACAAGUAUUUCUAUCACAUCUAUAUUGUAUUAUGAAUUACACAUCAUCUAGAA
This 333-nucleotide long non-coding RNA is filed under the name Chinchilla lanigera (long-tailed chinchilla). RNAcentral describes it as "lncRNA (ENSCLAG00000027131.1)". The record is from RNAcentral. Lineage: Eukaryota; Metazoa; Chordata; Mammalia; Rodentia; Chinchillidae.